This is a long non-coding RNA of Fundulus heteroclitus (mummichog), 931 nucleotides long. RefSeq lists it as uncharacterized. The record is from RefSeq and is a predicted model, not a curated record. The transcript is spliced from 3 exons. Lineage: Eukaryota; Metazoa; Chordata; Actinopteri; Cyprinodontiformes; Fundulidae.
ACAGGAUUAAAUGGUACAUUAUUCAAAAUAGGGAAGCAUAACACUGGCAGAUGUGAAUAUUGUGAGGAACAACAGACAGUUGAACAUAUAUGACACACUGUGAGAAAAGUUCAUAAAGAACAAGAGAAGAAGACUUCCCAACAGCAGGGGGCGCACUCCAACAAUCUGAAAGGUGUUCGUUUGCCUGAGGAAGAAGAACGUGAUGUCACAGCUAACAACAUUAGCACCACACAGUGGAGAAUUUAGGAGGGGAAGCAAAAAACAGCAAACUUCCAGAGCUACGUCCCAGGAAGCCCAACUUUUGCUCGGCCUAUGGGUGCGCAAAUUAAAGGACACUAGGAACCAGAUCCUGGGGAAUUACCUUCCAUAAGUUUACACUGAAACAUUUUUUGCUUCUAUCCACCCUGAGGUCAACCACGUCACCACCAGAAAUAAGAAUAAGGGACAGCAUGUUUGUUUCGCAUCCUGACACUCCCUGAGGAUAUCAAAGGAACCCAAAGAGUUCAUUGAAGGAUGCUACGAACCCUGACACAAUAGUGGCGGCAUCCUUGAUCCCAUCCCAGAGGGAGUUCAUGUCUGAACUGGUAUGUAUGUAAAGUCUAGGCUAGUGAAAUUUCAUUCAGUUUUAUUCGUGGGCUAGCAGUAAAUCUGAUCUGAAAUGACCCAAGUGUGCUCACAAUAGAGCUGCAACAAUUCAUCAAUAAAUUGAACAGUAAUCCUUUAUUUAAUGAAUUGGCAACUAUAAUCAGUUUGAGUAGUUUUUUAAGCAUAAGAUAAGAUAGUCUUUAUUGAUCUCACAUUGGAGAAAUUCACUUGUCACAUCAGCUCAAUAGUCAAUCAAUAGUCAGGAGUAAGAAAGGGUGCGUCAGUUAUAUACAGUGUAUCUUCCUAUAUACAGUGGAUCAAAAAGAAAAUGAGAAAAAAAAUAAGA